UUUUUUCAUUCUUUUCCUUUCCCUUCCUUCCUUUCUAUCUUUAUUUCUUUUUGACUGCACUCGUGGCAUAUGGAAGUUCCCAGGCCAGGAAUAGAUUUUGAGCUGCAGCUGCGACCUAUACCACAACUGCAGCAAUGCUGGGUCCUUAACCCACUGUGCCAGGCCAGGUAUUGAACUCAGACCUCCACAGCAACCCAAGCUGUUUCAGUCAGAUCCUUAACCCAUUGCACCACAGUGGGAACUCUGUAAGUUUUCCUUCUGAACCUAAAUGUUUCCAUAGGGAUUCAGCAGAUGUUCUUAGAUUUAUGCUAUAUUCAGAAAAACCCAUUAUUUCUUAAAUGAAAAAUUAUCUAAGUACACCAUAUAAACUCCAGAAAGAAGACACAUACACAUAAAAUUAUACAAGGUGGAAAUAAUGAGAAUAUCAUUUUUUAAAGAUUCAAUGUAUUCUGAGGGUAGAGAAGCAAAGCUGAUCAUUGCUAUAGUGAUUUCUGAUAAACCCACGAGGACUAAAACUGAAUGAACCAUCAGCCAUAGGAUAAGAGUUUAGGAAUGGUUCUAAAUGAUGUGAUGUAACUAUGGAAUUUUAAGAAGCAGAGAUAUUUCAGAUCUGUACAUUAAAAUCCCAAUCAGUGCCCUCCGAUAGGUUGGGACUGUGACUUCACAUGUGCACACUGUUGGUUGCCAGGGCAGCCAAAGAGAGAGAGGUGACCAUUCCUCAUAAACCCUACCUGGGGCUGUCCCAUCACCUUCCCUGCUCAGGUUGAAGCAGUGACAUCAUCUCUACCAUCCCCGAAUGUUUUUUGAACUCUGUUAAGUCUGCCUCUUCCUAUUAUUUCAACAGGAGUUAUCUAUGCAGUCUAACAACAACAAAAAAAGGUGGACGUGAUGAAAAAUGGACCUUAUCGGGUAUACUAAUCAAGAGAGAACGAUCUAGAUGUCAAUUGGAAUAAGAGCACCCAUUUACUGGAGGAAGACAUGGGGAGGAAGCUGUGAAAUACUUUGAAAAUAAAGUAGUAUGCAGACUAGCUCAGCAUCUCGCUCCCGAAACCCUGUCUUGCCCUCAACACAAGUCUUCAGACAUGGAAACAAAGAAAGUAAACUUAAGCUAGCCAAUGUAAAAACUGCUGAGUCGUGGGAACCAGUUAGCUAAACUGGCUGCAAGCUCUGAGCAGGUUUCUCAACCUUGAAACUAGUGACAUUUGGGGCUGGUUAAUUCUUGGCACUGGGUAGCUGUCCUAUACACUGUAGGAUAUUUAGUAACCCCUGCCCCCAGUCUCUACUGAUGCUAGUAGCACCUUCUCCCCAGUUUUGAUAGGCAAAAAUCUCUCUACACAUUGCCAGAUGUUCUCUGGGGGGGCAUCCUAGGGGGAUAAAACAGCCACCCAUUGAAAACUAUUGCUUAUCCUUUAAGAAGUGUCUCUCCAAGUCAGAUAAAGUUUGGGGAGGUGCCUUAAGACUAUUAAUAAUAUUUUCUGGUACAAUGCCAUUGAACCACUGAAUGAAAUGAUCCCAUUUCUGCUUCAUUUGAUGCUUAGGACUCCCAGUGUAGGGUAUGUGUGUGUGUGUAAGGCUAUGUAGGGUUGUUCUAUAGAAAAAUAUGUUUGAAAAAUAUUCCUCCAAAGAUUAAUUACAUUAAAAGAAUAUAUUCAUAAAAGAGAAAAAAUGAAGAAAAAUAUCCUAUUUUCAUACUUGAGAGUAUACAUUAGUUUAACUCCCUUUAUUUUUCUCUCUUAUGAAGAGAUUCCAAGAAACAUAAUUGCAAAUACAGCUACAAGUUAAUUAUACUAUUAUAAAUUACAUCCUUUUACUACUCUCUGGGGAGCACUAAGAAUUUUAGGGUGAGUAGAUGGGUAUAAAUGUUCAUGUUGUAGUCAAUACAUAAUUUAUAUCAUUGAGCUACCAUUAAAUAUAAUGAAUUCCCACACUGUGUCGUGGAAAUAAUCAAGAAUAGAACUAUUUUUCCUUCAGAAUUCCUAAGCAGCACUUAAGUUUCAACACUGGUAGCACUGUGUACUGAUGAAACAGGUUUUAUGUGAUAGACUCAAUGCCUGGGGCAGGCAGAUAGAUGCACUUAACAGAGUCAGAAAAAAAGCACGCAGAGAAAACGUAAUUGGCCCCAGAUCUACAAAUCAAGUCUAUGUCUGAAGAAAGAAAGAAAGAAAGAAAGAAAGAAAGAAAGAAAGAAAGAAAGAAAGAAAGGAAGGAAGGGAGGAAAAGAAAGAAAGGGUGGUUAAAAAAAGUAAGACAUCAAGACCUUCAGAUGUUUUAAAUUAUUAUUUUAUAAAUCACAUUUCUUUCAGACAAAUGAGGUCUAUGUACUGUAACUCUGGUGGACACAUGUCUGGAGGUUUAAAAUAAGGAAGAAAGAAGGAAAAAACACAUGUAGCUUUAAGUUGUAUCUUCAUGUAUCGUCUCAUUUAAUCCUUACACUAUCCCUGGGAAGUAGGUGUUACUGACCCAUUUUAAAAAUGAGGAAACUAGAGGCCCAUUAACUAACCUGCCCGAUUGCUUUACUGCCAAGCAAUAAAGACACCAUAGCUUUGUCAAAUGUCAAGGCCCUCCUCUUACCCAGAAGCCACACAAUCUAGCCUCUCUGGCCAAAAUACCUACUUUUAUUUCCAGAAUGAACUACCCUCUUCAAUUUUUUUCAGGGUCUGCAAUUCGGUCAAUUAAGAAUUCAUUUAAGUGAACAAAUAGCCUCUCUUAAAACUCCAAAUACUCUAGGUUAAAUGUUCAUAAAUCACGUAUAGCACAUGAUCAGCAUGAUAAUCAUGUGCAAACGUUAGCACAAAUAAGUGGAAGCAGAUAAGCAUGUUUUCGGAAUUUAGAUUUGAGUCCUGGUUCUUCGAUAUACUAGCUGUUUAUACUGGAGAACAUCACUUAGCUUGGUGAAGACUUACAUGCCUUAUUAUGAGAUAAACAGAUGCUUAUGAACCAGUUCCUAGACACCUAGGAUAAUUUUAUAGGAAAUCAUGCAUCACAGAUUCUAAAUAACUGAUUUACAAAUAUUAGAAUAUAACCUAACAUUAAACACAUGACAAAUAUUUAAUGCCCAGCUUGUAUUAUUAGUGGGAUAACCUGUAUGCAGGUGCAUAUGUGUGUGUGUGUGUGUGUGUGUGUGUACAUCUACAUAUAAUUUUAUAGUAUAUUUAUUUUGAUUGUUCUGUUCAUUUAUUUUGAUUUGUUUUUUGCUUCAAGUAUGAAACACAACUGUUACAUCAUGGCAUACUUAUAAAUAAGAAACAAGGGACACUUUUCAACAAAGAUGUUAUAGAGCAAAAGGCAGUUUCUUCUGUCAUGUACUGCCCACAAUGACACACAUGACAGAUAAAUGAAUGUGAAUUCUUUACAUAGAAGUCUUUGUCUAAUCAAUGAACACUGUGGACUCUCCUCAUCCAUAAUGCUUCAGCCUUAGAUCUAUUUAUUUUCUGCAAAUAGGCCUAAACACUGCAAAUGGAAUACACUAUAGGACUCCCUCAAUUCAUUUAUUUUUUCAUUCAUCUUCAUAAAAAAAUACAGCAAAGAAAUUGCAACAGUUCUUCAUGUGCUACCUACCUGCCAGGGGCUCCAACUAACUAGUGAAGAUUAACUAAUAUUUGGAGAAAGCCACUUGAGGGCUGAAAUAUCUGCUGCGUUAUGAAAUCUACACAUUAUCCCUAUGGAAAUGCAUUGCUUGGUAGUUCUUCAUCUGUAUGCACGAGACAGUCAGAGGCAACGUUCUGCCCAAGCUAAACCAACAGCCAAUAGAAUCAAGUCAGCACUUCCAGCCACGUCCAACCAUCCAGAAAGCCAGCGCUAAGUGCUGAGAGUUCUGACAUAUUUUGUGUUUAUCUUCCAUUUACAAAUGCUCCAAAUCAAACAGCAACAGAUAUUUUUAAAAAUAGCCUCAUUUUUGAAGCAACCACUGGGUAAACCCCUUGGAAUAAAAAAGCAACCACUAAGCAAACCUCUUGGAAUAAAAGUCAAGGACAGGCAGCUGAUGACAAAACUAACCAAGGUUUGGUUAAAGGAAUUGGGAGCAAAAGAGGAAGAACCUGGGAUAAAUUUCAAUUUCUCUCUGUAUUUAGAUGGUUGUAUCCUGAACCAUGAAGUUGUGUUGCAACAGCUCAGUGGAUGCAGAGGUUUGGGUGAGGCUGUGGGGUGGGGUGAUGAUUCUUCCUGAAGGAGUGGGGAAUAGGUGGGCUGUGUCAUUAAUACUACAUUGUUCAUAAGCCCAACAAAGAACAGGCUUGAAAUGGCAAGGACCUCAUAGGUUUACAAACGACCUUAACAGCUUCCAUGGUUGUAAGGUUUCCUGCUGGUGUUGCAACAAAUUACCACAAACUUAGGAGGAACAACCC
Molecule: long non-coding RNA, 4343 nt
Filed under: Sus scrofa (pig)
Lineage: Eukaryota; Metazoa; Chordata; Mammalia; Artiodactyla; Suidae
Description: lncRNA (ENSSSCG00055002880.1)
Source: RNAcentral